This 489-nucleotide ribosomal RNA is filed under the name uncultured bacterium. Its description in RNAcentral is "partial 16S ribosomal RNA". It matches the Rfam family "Bacterial small subunit ribosomal RNA", at positions 28 to 507 of the family's 1533-position model. The record is from RNAcentral.
GACGAACGCUGGCGGCGUGCUUAACACAUGCAAGUCGAACGGAAAGGCCCCCAUCUUGGUGGGGGUGCUCGAGUGGCGAACGGGUGAGUAACACGUGGGUGAUCUGCCCUGUACUUCGGGAUAAGCUUGGGAAACUGGGUCUAAUACCGGAUAGGACCAUGGUUUAGUGUCUCAUGGUGGAAAGAUUAUUGUUUUGGUGCAGGAUGAGCUCGCGGCCUAUCAGCUUGUUGGUGGGGUAAUGGCCUACCAAGGCGUCGACGGGUAGCCGGCCUGAGAGGGUGGACGGCCACAUUGGGACUGAGAUACGGCCCAGACUCCUACGAGAGGCAGCAGUGGGGAAUAUUGCACAAUGGGCGCAAGCCUGAUGCAGCGACGCCGCGUGGGGGAUGACGGCCUUCGGGUUGUAAACUCCUUUCGUUAGGGACGAAGCCGCACUUUUUUUGGGUGUGGUGACGGUACCUUUGUUAAGAAGCACCGGCUAACUACGUG